GAGGGGUGGAGGUCUAGUGGAGGGGUGAAGGUCUAGUGGAGGGGUGAAGGUCUAGUGGAGGGGUGAAAAUGUAGUGGAGGGGUGAAGGUCUAGAGGGGGGGGUGAAGAUCUAGUGGAGGGGUGGAGGUCUAGUGGAGGGGUGAAAGUCUAGUGGAGGGGUGAAGGUCUAGUGUAGGGGUGAAAAUCUAGUGGAGGGGUGAAGGUCUAGUUUCACAGACUGGUCUAGUGGAGGGGUGAAGGUCUAGUGGAGGGGUGAAGAUCUAGUGGAGGGG
Long non-coding RNA from Oncorhynchus tshawytscha (Chinook salmon), 272 nucleotides. NCBI's taxonomy places the organism in Eukaryota, Metazoa, Chordata, Actinopteri, Salmoniformes, Salmonidae. The record is from Ensembl.